Danio rerio (zebrafish) is the source of this 5408-nucleotide long non-coding RNA. The record is from Ensembl. NCBI's taxonomy places the organism in Eukaryota, Metazoa, Chordata, Actinopteri, Cypriniformes, Danionidae.
GAUUUGUUGAGGUAGUUGUUGUGGGUUCUGGCGUUGUUGUUGGUUCAGGUGUGGGUGUUGUUGUGGGUUCUAGUGUUGUUGUUGGUGCAGGUGUUGGAGGAUUUAUUGUGGUGGUUGUUGUGGGUUCUGGCGUUGUUGUUGGUGCAGGUGUGGGUGUUGUUGGAGGAUUUGUUGUGGUAGUUGUUGUGGGUUCUGGUGUUGUUGUGGCUGCAGGUGUUGGAGGAUUUGUUGUGGUAGUUGUUGUGGGUUCUGGCGUUGUUGUUGGUGCAGGUGUUGGAGGAUUUGUUGUGGUGGUUGUUGUGGGUUCUGUCGUUGUUGUUGGUGCAGGUGUGGGUGUUGUUGUGGGUUCUGGUGUUGUUGUGGCUGCAGGUGUUGGAGGAUUUGUUGUGGUAGUUGUUGUGGGUUCUGGCGUUGUUGUUGGUGCAGGUGUGGGUGUUGUUGUGGGUUCUGGCGUUGUUGUUGGUGCAGGUGUGGGUGUUGUUGUGGCUGCAGGUGUUGGAGGAUUUGUUGUGGUAGUUGUUGUGGGUUCUGGUGUUGUUGUGGCUGCAGGUGUUGGAGGAUUUGUUGUGGUAGUUGUUGUGGGUUCUGGCGUUGUUGUUGGUGCAGGUGUUGGAGGAUUUGUUGUGGUAGUUGUUGUGGGUUCUGGCGUUGUUGUUGGUGCAGGUGUGGGUGUUGUUGUGGGUUCUGGUGUUGUUGUUGGUGCAGGUGUGGGUGUUGUUGUGGGUUCUGGUGUUGUUGUGGCUGCAGGUGUUGGAGGAUUUGUUGUGGUAGUUGUUGUGGGUUCUGGUGUUGUUGUGGCUGCAGAAGUUGGAGGAUUUGUUGUGGUAGUUGUUGUGGGUUCUGGCGUUGUUGUUGGUUCAGGUGUGGGUGUUGUUGUGGGUUCUAGUGUUGUUGUUGGUGCAGGUGUUGGAGGAUUUAUUGUGGUGGUUGUUGUGGGUUCUGGCGUUGUUGUUGGUGCAGGUGUGGGUGUUGUUGUGGGUUCUGGUGUUGUUGUGGCUGCAGGUGUUGGAGGAUUUGUUGUGGUAGUUGUUGUGGGUUCUAGCGUUGUUGUUGGUGCAGGUGUUGGAGGAUUUGUUGUGGUAGUUGUUGUGGGUUCUGGCGUUGUUGUUGGUUCAGGUGUGGGUGUUGUUGUGGGUUCUGUCGUUGUUGUUGGUGCAGGUGUGGGUGUUGUUGUGGGUUCUAGUGUUGUUGUGGCUGCAGGUGUUGGAGGAUUUGUUGUGGUAGUUGUUGUGGGUUCUGGCGUUGUUGUUUGUUCUGGUGUUGUUGUUGGUGCAGGUGUGGGUGUUGUUGUGGGUUCUGGCGUUGUUGUUGGUGCAGGUGUUGGAGGAUUUGUUGUGGUAGUUGUUGUGGGUUCUGGUGUUGUUGUGGCUGCAGGUGUUGGAGGAUUUGUUGUGGUAGUUGUUGUGGGUUCUGGCGUUGUUGUUGGUGCAGUUGUGGGUGUUGUUGUUGGUGCAGUUGUGGGUGUUGUUGUGGGUUCUGGUGUUGUUGUGGCUGCAGGUGUUGGAGGAUUUGUUGUGGUAGUUGUUGUGGGUUCUGGUGUUGUUGUUGAUGCAGGUGUGGUAGUUGUUGUGGGUUCUGGCGUUGUUGUUGUUGGUGCAGGUGUUGGAGGAUUUGUUGUGGUAGUUGUUGUGGGUUCUGGCGUUGUUGUGGCUGCAGGUGUUGGAGGAUUUGUUGUGGUAGUUGUUGUGGGUUCUGGCGUUGUUGUUGGUUCAGGUGUGGGUGUUGUUGUUGGUUCUUGCGUUGUUGUUGGUGCAGGUGUGGGUGCUGUUGUAGGAACUAUUGUGGUUGUUGUUGUGGGUUCUGGUGUUGUUGUUGGUGCAGGUGUGGGUGUUGUUGUAGGAACUAUUGUGGUGGUUGUUGUGGGUUCUGGCGUUGUUGUUGGUUCAGGUGUGGGUGUUGUUGUAGGAACUAUUGUGGUUGUUGUUGUGGGUUCUGGCGUUGUUGUUGGUGCAGGUGUGGGUGUUGUUGUGGGUUCUGGCGUUGUUGUUGGUGCAGGUGUUGGGGGAUUUGUUGUGGUGGUUGUUGUGGGUUCUGGUGUUGUUGUGGCUGCAGGUGUUGUUAUAGGAUUUAUUGUGGUGGUUGUUGUGGGUUCUGGCAUUGUUGUUGGUGCAGGUGUGGGUGCUGUUGUGGUUUCUGGUGUUGUUGUGGCUGCAGGUGUUGUAGGAAUUAUUGUGGUGGUUGUUGUGGGUUCUGGUAUUGUUGGUGCAGGUGUGGUUUCUGGUGUUGUUGUGGGUUCUGGUAUUGUUGUUGGUUCAGGUGUGGUUUCUGUUGUUGUUGUUGUGGGUUCUGGUAUUGUUGUUGGUGCAGGUGUGAUUUCUGGUGUUGUUGUGGGUUCUGGUGUUGUUGUUGGUGCAGGUGUGGUUUCUGGUGUUGUUGUGGGUUCUGGUAUUGUUGUUGGUGCAGGUGUGGUUUCUGGUGUUGUUGUGGGUUCUGGUAUUGUUGUUGGUGCAGGUGUGGUUUCUGGUGUUGUUGUGGGUUCUGGUAUUGUUGUUGGUGCAGGUGUGGUUUCUGGUGUUGUUGUGGGUUCUGGUGUUGUUGUUGGUGCAGGUGUGGUUUCUGGUGUUGUUGUGGGUUCUGGUAUUGUUGUUGGUGCAGGUGUGGUUUCUGGUGUUGUUGUGGGUUCUGGUGUUGUUGUUGAUGCAGGUGUGGUUGUUGUGGUUACUGUUGUAGGUUUUGUUGUUGAAGUUGUUGAAGGUAUUGUUGUAGGUGUUGUUGGAGAUUUUGUGGUUGUGCGUGUUGUUGUAGGUGUUGUUGGAGAUUUUGUGGUUGUGCGUGUUGUUGUAGGUGUUGUUAGAGAUUUUGUGGUUGUGCGUGUUGUAGGUGUUGUUAGAGAUUUUGUGGUUGUGCGUGUUGUUGUAGGUGUUGUUGGAGAUUUAGUUGUUGUGAGUGUUGUUGUAGGUGUUGUUGGAGAUUUCGUGGUUGUGCGUGUUGUUGUAGGUGUUGUCGGAGAUUUUGUGGUUGUGCGUGUUGUUGUAGGUGUUGUUGGAGAUUUUGUGGUUGUGCGUGUUGUUGUAGGUGUUGUUAGAGAUUUCGUGGUUGUGCGUGUUGUUGUAGGUGUUGUUAGAGAUUUUGUGGUUGUGCGUGUUGUAGGUGUUGUUGGAGAUUUUGUGGUUGUGCGUGUUGUAGGUGUUGUUGGAGAUUUAGUGGUUGUGCGUGUUGUAGGUGUUGUUAGAGAUUUUGUGGUUGUGCGUGUUGUAGGUGUUGUUAGAGAUUUUGUGGUUGUGCGUGUUGUGGUAAGUGUUGUUGGAGAUUUUGUGGUUGUACGUGUUGUUGUAGGUGUUGUUAGAGAUUUUGUGGUUGUACGUGUUGUUGUAGGUGUUGUUGGAGAUUUUGUUGUUGUAGGUGUUGUUGGAGAUUUUGUUGUUGUGCGUGUUGUUGUAGGUGUUGUUGUCUGCUUUGUUGUGGAUGUUGUUGUAGAUGUUGCUGCAGCAAUAACACUGCGUCUGUUUCUGAUGAAACUGAUUGGAAAUCUUUCCACUGAAGGUUGAUCGGUGUAGGACAGAGUUAUCUUGCGAAUGGGGAAAUCCUCCAGUACCAGCUCAAAUGAAUAAACUCCAGGGACCAGGGUUUGUUCAUAGGACAGAGAGCAGUUAUUCUACAUUUUAAAGAAAAUAAAAACUUUUAUGAAAUAACUAAUAUACAUAUAUGUUGUAAAUGCUGUGUAGAAAUCAGACUUUAAAACGAAGCUUUUGUAUUAAGCAUAUAUAACACUUGAUUUCAGUUUAUUUUGCAAUGAUAACAUCAAUUUACAACAUCAUAACAAUCAAUUGUAAAACUACAUCCUUAUGGGAAUGGAUUUUCUCAAGCUUUCUGUUUCUCACUGUACUAUUUCCGACAUUAAUCCCAUAAUGGAAAUUUAUUUCCUCCUUGAAUUUAGUGGUAAAUAGUUGCUUGUCAUCCAAUUUCAAUAUCAACUAUGCAGGUUUUAAGAAAUGGUAUGUUAAGUUAGGCCCAAAAGAAAUAUAGAUCGUAUUGUCACCAUAACAAUGAAAACUAACUUUAUGUUAAGUGUAGCAUAAAGAAUGGAAAUUUAUGGACCAUGUAUGGCACCUUGUGGCACUGUAUAUUGAAUUUGUGACCAAAAUUAUACCUCUUAACUUGAUCUAAUGUAAUACCUAAAAUACCAAUAUCAUUAUGAGAUUAUCCAAGAGACUUUUGUAGUUAAUUGUAUCAAAUGCAGCAUUGGGGUUUAUUAACAAUAUUACAGAAAUGCCACCACAAUAAGAUAGAACAAGACGUUAGUAACUCUAAUGCUAUAAAAUGGCUGAAAUCCUGACUAGAAUUCCAUAUACAUUUGUACACUUUCAUAUACAUAUGUCUAUUUUUCCUCACCUGAUUUAAAGUGAAACCAUCAGUUUGGUUGCAGAUUCCACAUUCAGUGUUUUGUGCAAAUCUGCAUCUGACCUGGUCAUCAUCUGGAUCAAAGGCUAAAAGGUUGUACCUCCUGGCACAGUUUUGAGGAACUCUGCAACACAAACAAAGUGCCAAUGUCAUGUACAUUUAUAUUCCUACAUCAUGUUGAAUGCACAUCUAGAAUGCAGUUUUUACCUAAGAAGUGGUAGAGUGGUAGAGAUUGGGGAUCUGUUAGGCACUAAAGUGUCUGAUCUCACUCCCAGAUCAAUGAAAGAAAAAAGAUUCCAGAAUCCGGAGUAUGCGACUAUGUUGUUGAUCCAACAGCAACCCAUUGACCUGUUGAAAUAAAUUGGCAUUUCAUAUUUACAUUGUUUGGUUGGGAUCUAUAUUGUAAGUGUGUGAUUCUGUUAUUCCACUUACACUAACUCAAAUGGUCUGUUGGUGGAUAAAUCCUUUGUUAUGACUCCCUCAGACUGACACCAGUUGUUUCCAUUGGAACUCGAAUCUAUUGUUCCAAUCACGUUACUGACCUCAUUUCCACAGUCUCCAGACAUGCAGGACCAGUGGUUAUACUGGGAACAGUCAUUGUAGGCCAUCUUGUAGCGAAGUUCCACCUGAAAUAAUCAAUAGUUUAAUAAAUGACUGAAGUGAGGUCUUAAAUGUAUGUGAUUGAUGUUGAAAUCUGCUGGUAAGAUGUGCAAACAUCUUUAUUUAAAAAAUACAGCACUGCAGAAAAUCAAAUUUUAAUAGCUGUUGUUUUCACAUUUCAUGAUUAUCUAGGGUAACAUUCAGUUGCCGUCAUGUUCAUACUACAUAACCAUAGAUAUGUACUCUAGAUAUCGCAUACGGACCUUGAGCAUGCGCCGCCACAUUUGUAUAGUGCUCCCAGGACAAACGUCAUUCAACCGCACUAGUCAAGACUAAAGCCAAUGUGAGAUGCUGAACUUUAGCGCUGUGUAUGGGUGUAGUAUUGAACAAACAAAGAAAACAAAGCACGAAGGCAGAACAUUUCAGAGGUAAAAUUGAGUUUUUUACGUUCUUGGAUGUUACAAACG